This 274-nucleotide ribosomal RNA is filed under the name uncultured bacterium. Its description in RNAcentral is "partial 16S ribosomal RNA". It matches the Rfam family "Bacterial small subunit ribosomal RNA", at positions 523 to 796 of the family's 1533-position model. The record is from RNAcentral.
AUACAUAUGUCCCGAGUGUUACCCGGAAUAAUUGGGUGUAAAGGGUUCGUAGGCGGAUAAGAAAGUUGGACAUGAAAGACCGAAGCUCAACUUCGUGUUUGUAUCCAAAACUCCUUAUCUAGAAUUAGGGAGAGGUAAGCGGAAUUCUAAGUGUAGGGGUGCAAUCCGUAGAUACUUAGAGGAACACCGAAAGCGAAGGCAGCUUACUGGAACUAUAUUGACGCUGAGGAACGAAAGCGUGGGUAGCGAAAAGGAUUAGAAACCCCUGUAGUCC